GUCUGGUGGCAUUAGCAGGCCACAACUCAGUGGACCUCCGGCCUAAAGCUGGCAGGUUACUGCUGAAUGACAGAAAAUAGGCCUACAGUACACUGGCCCUCAGCCUUGUAGUACUCAACCUGUCCUCAUAUGCCCAAUGUUGUCAUAUGUUAGGCCUGUAGCUACCCGCAGACAAUCAUAUUGCAUUUGUUUGUAAACAUUUACAACUGGUGAAUCAUUAUUUCUGAAUGGCUUAUUACAGUGUUAUUACAAUGUAGAAGGUGGUGUUUCUGUUUUGUUUUUAUCAGAACGCAGGGUUGCAUAGCUACUGGAUCUAAUGAUACAUUGUAAUGCUUGUGGUGGCUUGUUUUAAAAUAAUACUUGUGGUGGCUUAUUUCAUUAUAAGGAUUGUGGUGUCUUGUUUUAAAAUAAUACUUGUGGUGGCUUGUUUCAUUAUAAUGCUUGUGGUGUCUUGUUUCAUCAUAAUGCUUGUGGUGCCUUGUUUCAUCAUAAUGCUUGUGGUGCCUUGUUUCAUCAUAAUGCUUGUGGUGGCUUGUUUCAUCAUAAUGCUUGUGGUGGCUUGUUUCAUUAUAAUGCUUGUGGUGGCUUGUUUCAUCAUAAUGAUUGUGGUGGCUUGUUUCAUCAUAAUGCUUGUGGUGUCUUGUUUCAUCAUAAUGUUUGUGGUGUCUUGUUUCAUUAUAAUGCUUGUGGUGGCUUGUUUCAUUAUAAUGCUUGUGGUGGCUUGUUUCAUCAUAAUGAUUGUGGUGGCUUGUUUCAUCAUAAUGCUUGUGGUGUCUUGUUUCAUCAUAAUGUUUGUGGUGUCUUGUUUCAUUAUAAUGCUUGUGGUGGCUUGUUUCGUCAUAAUGCUUGUGGUGGCUUGUUUCAUUAUAAUGCUUGUGGUGUCUUGUUUCAUUAUAAUGAUUGUGGUGUCUUGUUUCAUCAUAAUGCUUGUGGUGUCUUGUUUCAUUAUAAUGAUUGUGGUGGCUUGUUUCAUCAUAAUGCUUGUGGUGGCUUGUUUCAUUAUAAUGAUUGUGGUGGCUUGUUUCAUUAUAAUGAUUGUGGUGGCUUGUUUCACUAUAAUGAUUGUGGUGGCUUGUUUUAAAACAAUGCUUGUGGUGUCUUGUUUCAUCAUAAUGCUUGUGGUGGCUUGUUUCAUUAUAAUGAUUGUGG
RNAcentral lists this long non-coding RNA (1149 nucleotides) under Oncorhynchus kisutch (coho salmon). Its description in RNAcentral is "lncRNA (ENSOKIG00005015556.1)". The record is from RNAcentral. Lineage: Eukaryota; Metazoa; Chordata; Actinopteri; Salmoniformes; Salmonidae.